RNAcentral lists this ribosomal RNA (376 nucleotides) under uncultured bacterium. RNAcentral's name for it is "bacterial SSU rRNA". It matches the Rfam family "Bacterial small subunit ribosomal RNA", at positions 523 to 897 of the family's 1533-position model. The record is from RNAcentral.
AUACGUAGGUGGCGAGCGUUGUCCGGAAUUACUGGGUGUAAAGGGUGCGUAGGCGGAUUUGCAAGUCAGGUGUGAAAACUAUCGGCUUAACCGGUAGCCUGCACUUGAAACUGUAAGUCUUGAGUGGUGAAGAGGUAAGCGGAAUUCCUAGUGUAGCGGUGAAAUGCGUAGAUAUUAGGAGGAACACCAGUGGCGAAGGCGGCUUACUGGGCACUAACUGACGCUGAGGCACGAAAGCAUGGGGAGCAAACAGGAUUAGAUACCCUGGUAGUCCAUGCCGUAAACGAUGAUUACUAGGUGUAGGGGGUAUCGACCCCCCCUGUGCCGCAGUUAACACAAUAAGUAAUCCACCUGGGGAGUACGGCCGCAAGGUUGA